Cebus imitator (Panamanian white-faced capuchin) is the source of this 323-nucleotide long non-coding RNA. RefSeq lists it as uncharacterized. The record is from RefSeq and is a predicted model, not a curated record. NCBI's taxonomy places the organism in Eukaryota, Metazoa, Chordata, Mammalia, Primates, Cebidae. The transcript has 3 exons.
UUGUCACCUAACAGUGAGACCGGUGGGAAAUGUCAGCAACGGUGACUUUGGGGGAUAGUUUCUCCCAGUAAGGAAGGCAAAUUCUACAAAAAGAAUGAAGCACAGCAGACAAAGUGAAGCGCUGGUUUUUACAAGCCUGAGGAAGGCGAGGAAGUCUGUCUGCAAUGUCUGCUGCAUCCAUCUUAUAGUGACCACUCCUGGAAAUGGUAUCACUGCUUCAGCCCCCUUGUCCCUGCUUACAGAACAAGGACACCUUGCCACAACAGGCACCAGUUAACUCAAUGAUUUUUUUACUGGUGGGAAAGUGGAGCAAAAGUUCUGGU